UACGGGGGGAGCAAGCGUUGUUCGGAUUUACUGGGCGUAAAGGGCGCGUAGGCGGCCAGCACAAGUCAGUUGUGAAAUCUCCGAGCUUAACUCGGAACGGUCAACUGAUACUGUGCGGCUAGAGUGCGGAAGGGGCAACUGGAAUUCUUGGUGUAGCGGUGAAAUGCGUAGAUAUCAAGAGGAACACCUGCGGCGAAGGCGGGUUGCUGGGCCGACACUGACGCUGAGGCGCGAAAGCCAGGGGAGCGAACCGG
RNAcentral lists this ribosomal RNA (254 nucleotides) under uncultured bacterium. RNAcentral describes it as "partial 16S ribosomal RNA". It matches the Rfam family "Bacterial small subunit ribosomal RNA", at positions 524 to 776 of the family's 1533-position model. The record is from RNAcentral.